Molecule: ribosomal RNA, 253 nt
Filed under: uncultured bacterium
Lineage: Bacteria
Description: partial 16S ribosomal RNA
Rfam family: Bacterial small subunit ribosomal RNA
Source: RNAcentral
UACGUAGGGUGCAAGCGUUAAUCGGAAUUACUGGGCGUAAAGCGUGCGCAGGCGGUCCGCUAAGACCGAUGUGAAAUCCCCGGGCUUAACCUGGGAACUGCAUUGGUGACUGGCGGGCUGGAGUAUGGCAGAGGGGGGUAGAAUUCCACGUGUAGCAGUGAAAUGCGUAGAGAUGUGGAGGAAUACCGAUGGCGAAGGCAGCCCCCUGGGCCAAUACUGACGCUCAUGCACGAAAGCGUGGGGAGCAAACAGG